This 78-nucleotide ribosomal RNA is filed under the name Borreliella burgdorferi (Lyme disease spirochete). RNAcentral describes it as "23S rRNA". The record is from RNAcentral. Lineage: Bacteria; Pseudomonadati; Spirochaetota; Spirochaetia; Spirochaetales; Borreliaceae.
GGUCAAAGUAAUAAGAGUCUAUGGUGAAUGCCUAGGAGCUUUAAGGCGAAGAAGGUCGUGGUAAGCUGCGAAAAGCUU